UCGAGCUGUUUUGGGUCAGGCAGUCUAACAAUAGGAGUGGCUCCCGGCCUACACGUCUCUGAGCUCCCAGGGCGCUGGACGGAAAAGGUUUGGACAUUGGCACUUCUACCUAAAUAAGUUAGUAGGCUUCUGAACCAGAGGACAUCUGCUAAGGACAGAGAGUGGAUUCUGUUUCCGAGUGUGCUGGAUGGGCAGCUCAGAUGUCGCACUCGCUGUCGCUGGACGUGAUGGAGAUGGCCGAAGUGGCGG
Molecule: long non-coding RNA, 249 nt
Organism: Prionailurus viverrinus (fishing cat)
Lineage: Eukaryota; Metazoa; Chordata; Mammalia; Carnivora; Felidae
Exons: 3
Source: RefSeq, a predicted model, not a curated record